RNAcentral lists this microRNA precursor (98 nucleotides) under Xyrichtys novacula (pearly razorfish). Lineage: Eukaryota; Metazoa; Chordata; Actinopteri; Labriformes; Labridae. The record is from RNAcentral.
GAGGGUCCAUGCCCAGUCUAACCAAUGUGCAGACUACUGUACACCAGUAUGACAAUGAACAGGUAGUCUGAACACUGGGUGGACGGAGCCGGAGUUAA